RNAcentral lists this ribosomal RNA (254 nucleotides) under uncultured bacterium. Its description in RNAcentral is "partial 16S ribosomal RNA". It matches the Rfam family "Bacterial small subunit ribosomal RNA", at positions 524 to 776 of the family's 1533-position model. The record is from RNAcentral.
UACGUAGGGGGCAAGCGUUGUUCGGAAUGACUGGGCGUAAAGGGUGCGUAGGCGGUGUAGCAAGUUAGAAGUGAAAUACCUAGAGCUUAACUCAGGUGCUGCUUCUAAAACUGCUAUACUUGAGUGCAGUAGAGGAAAGUGGAAUUCCUAGUGUAGCGGUGGAAUGCGUAGAUAUUAGGAGGAACAUCAGUGGCGAAGGCGGAUUGCUGGACAGUAACUGACGCUGAGGCGCGAAAGCGUGGGGAGCAAACAGG